Long non-coding RNA from Microplitis mediator, 468 nucleotides. RefSeq lists it as uncharacterized. NCBI's taxonomy places the organism in Eukaryota, Metazoa, Arthropoda, Insecta, Hymenoptera, Braconidae. The transcript has 3 exons. The record is from RefSeq and is a predicted model, not a curated record.
GGUGCGACAUUUGUUGACAUUAAAUUUUCAAAUGCACAAAUUUAAAAAUUUUAAAUUUCCCUCCUUACAUCUGUUUCAAAAAUCACUUUCUUUUCCUGAAAAAAAAAAACAAAAAGUAUAUAAAUAAAUAAAUACUUAUUAUUCAACUGAUAAAGUAAAACCGUUACUUGUUAAGAAUGCAGUUGAGAUCGAUUUCGUAAUAAUUUAUGUCAGAAGAUGCGCCGCAUCUUAAUCAACGAGCAUGAAAUCCAGGGUUGACUCCCGCGCGAACGUGGGCGUCACCUAUGAAGUAACACCAGCAAUGACAUCUCGGGAUGCUCUUGAUUUCUCUAAUUUCUACAUACAUACAUCCAUUAAAUAAAUAUACAAGACAGUUAUUGCAAGAUAAAGAUAAAUAUGAAUUGCAAACACUAAACAUUUUAAAGUUUAACUACCACUUGCAUGAGCUAGAUUUUAAAUAUUAUUUUA